UGAUCGAUGGAGGAGAUUUGGAAGCAGCUGUUACUUUAAAUCCACUGAGAGGAAAACUUGGUCUGAGAGCAGGAGAGACUGUCAGGAUAAAGGAGCUGAUCUGGUGAUGAUAAACAGCAAAGAGGAACAGGAAUUUAUCAAUGAACUGAACAUGAGAGGAGAGUCCUGGAUUGGUCUGGAACGCUAUUCUCAGAAACAUGAAUGGAAAUGGGUGGAUGGAUCACUGCUGACAGAAACGUUCUGGGCACCUGGACAGCAGAAUG
This is a long non-coding RNA of Oreochromis aureus, 263 nucleotides long. RefSeq lists it as uncharacterized. The transcript is spliced from 3 exons. The record is from RefSeq and is a predicted model, not a curated record. Lineage: Eukaryota; Metazoa; Chordata; Actinopteri; Cichliformes; Cichlidae.